GAUGAACGCUGGCGGCGUGCCUAAUACAUGCAAGUCGAGCGAACAGACGAGGAUCUUGCUCCUCUGACGUUAGCGGCGGGCGGGUGAGUAACACGUGGAUAACCUACCUAUAAGACUGGGAUAACUUCGGGAAACCGGAUCUAAUACCGGAUAAUAUAUUGAACCGCAUUGUGCAAUAGUGAAAGACGGUUUUGCUGUCACUUAUAGAUGCAUCUGCGCCGGAUUAGCUAGUUGUUAAGUUAACGGUUUACCAAGGCAAGUAUGCGUAUGCGACCUGAGUGGGGGGUAGCCCACCCGAGAACUGAGACAGGGUCAAGGCUCCUACGAGACGCAGCAGUAGGGAAUCUUCCGCAAUAGGCGAGAGCCUGACGGAGCAACGCCGCGUGAGUGAUGGCGGUCUUCGGAUCGUAAAACUCUGUUACUAGGGAAAAACCAAUGUGUCAGUAACUAUGCCCGUAUUGACGGUACCUAAUAAGAAAGCACCGGCUAACUACGUG
Molecule: ribosomal RNA, 497 nt
Filed under: uncultured bacterium
Lineage: Bacteria
Description: partial 16S ribosomal RNA
Rfam family: Bacterial small subunit ribosomal RNA
Source: RNAcentral